GUAUUGGUUGUUCAGUGGUAGAAUUCUUGCCUUCCAUGCAGGAGACCUGGGUUCAAUUCCUGGCAAAUGUA
RNAcentral lists this transfer RNA (71 nucleotides) under Loxodonta africana (African savanna elephant). It matches the Rfam family "tRNA". From Rfam's summary of the family: Transfer RNA (tRNA) molecules are approximately 80 nucleotides in length. Their secondary structure includes four short double-helical elements and three loops (D, anti-codon, and T loops). Lineage: Eukaryota; Metazoa; Chordata; Mammalia; Proboscidea; Elephantidae. The record is from Rfam by way of RNAcentral.